ACACAUACAUGACACUAAACACACUUGUAGGAGUCUGCACAGGACCAGUAACGCACGCGCGCAGGAAAAACCCGGUGUAACUCCACGGUGCGAUUUUGGGUCUAGGUCACUGAGUGGCUUAAAGUCCUCGACAGCUCAAACAACCCCGCGAAAACCAUCUCGGCGGGGCCGAGGUGAGCGGACCCUCUGAGGCCGGGUCCCGCUGCCCCCCCGGCCCGGCCCGGCCCGGCCCGGCCCCCGCACCUGCCCCGCUCACAAAAUGGCAGCUUCAUGAUGUAAAAGAGGACCAGUCCAGCCAGUCGCAGAGGAACUCACAUACAGCAGCACAGGCAGGAGGAUGUGCUAAAUGCUGCCAGUGCAGGAUGCAGCACAGCACCAUGCCAUUGAGUCCAACUGAAGACAGAUGCAACAAUUCCAAGUGCCACUGGUGGGACAUUUGCUUGAGCAGAGAAAGGGUGUCCUUUUUCUCCUCUUGCACUAAAGAGUCGAAAUUUGUCCUGGUAAAUUUAUCUGUAAAAUCUAUUUUAUGGUUCAAGAUUCUACUGUUGUGAAGACAUCACAUUUUAUUUAACAAGAGGUAUUCAGACUCUCUAGUCCUAAGCCAUCCAAGAGCAGACCUAGCCAAAGAACCAUUCUUCUCUCUCCUCGAGUUGAACUCACAGCUGCAGGAAGAUUUACUGAAAAAUUUCCGGAAAGAUCAAGAGAGCAUGAUCACCUGAAGUACAUGGCUUUAUCAAGAAAGUUCUGCUUUACUCCUGCUAAAAAAAAAACCAGCUGCUUACUAUAGCUUGGGAGGAGCCUUUAAAUUCUUGUUCACUAAAACAACCCUGGUUCAUGGCCCAUCACCACUGACUCUAGGCUUCUUCUGUAAUAUUUGUCCUAGUAGUGUUAUUUUGCGUCCCGAUUGAAAAGGAGCAUGGUAAUGUGCAAACUUGUCUCACAGUACAAAGCUGUAUUGCCUACUCUGAGAGCAGGCUAGAAAAAUCCUUGUAUCUCUAGAAAUAUGGAAGUGUAUGGAGAUCUCCAUUAAAAAAAAAAAAGUGCAAAAGCUAGAAAGUUGAGGGUAAGCCUCACAAGCAAAAUCCCCCAAACACUGUGAGCAGACAAGUUAGAAUAAAGCUGAGAUGGAAAUUUAUACAUUUUUAGAGAGGUGAAUAAAGACAGAUUCAGGGAAGAAGUGUAUCUUGCAAACACACGUACAGUCAGAGAAGUCAAAUGUCCAAUGUUUAAAACUCACAUUGCAUGAAAUACAGCAAACCCACAGUGCUAACUGAGGCACAGUAUGGUAGAUGCAAAAUCUUUAAGUCAACAGCAUUCCCUUGUGGACAAUAAUCACUGACUGGGAAAUCUCUUUAAAAGCCCUGGUCCCUGCUGGGUGAAGUGCUGGAAUCUUUGCUGUUCUCUCAGGGUGCCACCCUGCUGUGUGCAUGGUGAUGAAGAAUAAAUAUGCAUGAAGUCGACAGUUAGUUUGGCUUCCACCAAAGCUUAAUUUAGCUCACUUCCCAGUGCUGAAUAAGAGAAAUUAAUAAUAAUAAUUAAUAGUUCUUUUAACACAGUGAGUAAGGAGCAGCAUGUGAUAAAAAUCCUAAAUCUAGGGAAACUUCAUUGCUGGGAGACAAGGACUGUACAAUGUAUUCCACAUUGCCAAGGAAGUACAACAUACUUUGGAGGGUACUGAUGGACUAAACAAAAGAAAAUGUCUGGUCAGAGGAAACAAAGGAAUGCACUGUAGAAUCCAGGGAGGAUGUAGUACGGUCCACACCAGCUGGAAUGCAUCUCCUGAGGAGGCUGAAAUUCCUUCCAUCUUCUUCCCCCUCCUGUUUUUGGUUUUCGACCUUCUCUGUCAAGAAAAGGACAAAAGCUCUAUUAUGUCUGAAGUCUGGCCACAAGCAACAGUACCUAAAAAGUGCUUCAGAGCAUUUAGCACAUGAGCAUGUGCUAUUUCUGCAGGACCUUGGCAAGCUUUCUCAGUGACUUUUGCCAUCAUCCACAAAUUGCAUAUUCCUUCAGUAUAACUUCACAAAGGUUCCUCCUUUUCUUCUUGGCUUGCACCACUGUACUCACUUCCUUAGAAGCCAGAAGAUGCAGAGCUGACAUUGUACAAGGAAUUUUGAAUAAAUUCUGAUAUACAUUUUGAGGAGAAAACAUGGGGUGUUCAUUACUGAUUUUGUUACUUUAUUGUGGUUAUUUCUGUGUAUAGUUGUAAAUGGGUUUUUUUGUGGGUAGUGCUGCACAAAGUCUGAGAAAGGUAGCAUACUUCCCUACAAAAUUUCAAAAUGUUUUUAAAAGUACAGCAAGUAGAAAGCAGAGAAGUACAUUCUAUUUUUAUAAUAUGUAUAGUGUCGGGGAAGGUUUAGGUUGGAUAUCAGGAAAAAGUUUUCAUCCAGACUGUGGUUGGGCACUGGAAGAGGCUCCCCAAGGAAGUGGUCACAGCAUCAAGCCUGAUAGAGUUCAAGAAGCAUUUGGACAAUACUCUCAGGCACAUGGUAUGAUUCUUGGGAUGUCCUGUGUAGGGCCAGGAUUUGGACUUAAUGAUCCUGAUGAACCCCUUCCAACUCAUCAUAUUCUAUGACUCUAUGAUUCUAUAUAUUACACAUAAAAUACAUACACUUAUGGCCUGCCCAUCAGACACUCAUUGCUCCCAGAGAGGGUGGAUAGACUAGCAAGUAAAGAGUCUUCAAACUUCAUUCAAGAAGAGUGACCUAUGAACAGAGGACAGUGCUGAUGAAGACAUAGACAUGGUUGAGGGGAAAUGGACAAGCUGGGGCUGUCCUCAAUGGCAUGGGAAAGGAAACAGAAGCUGGAUAAAAAGAAACAUGCAGAUAAUUAGUAAGGGAAAGGACCAUAUCACUCUCAAAGGUGUGGACAAGAUGGUUUUGCUCAAUGCGGUGGGAAAAGGAAAGGAUGUUAGAGAAAUCUGAAGGAGCAUCAUAGUGAUAUGACAGAAGGCAAGGUCAGAAACUUUGUAUAACUAAGGAGAAAAGCUGUGUGUCUGAAAUUACUGUAUUUGUAAUGUUAUCUGUAUAACUAAUAGAACUGUCAUACAGAUUGUUUAAUAUUUGCAGCUGAAAGAUACUGCUUUUAUACCAAAUAUUCUUAUUUUGGUUGAUUUCCUUAGAAGACUCUACUCUCUCAUAGUGGUUCUUCUGCCCAGCCUCAGCAAAGUCUACACUCGAGGUUCCAGUCUGUUAUCUCACCUGUGUUUCAGACUCUUCAGCAUUGAAAGCCCCUGCUGUACUGUAGAUGUUUACUGUCACAAGAAGCAGCAAAGGUCCUGUGACAAGAAGCCAGCUUCUUCUCACAGAUGACAACUGCCUUUAAAUACUUUACUGGUUGAAAGGGGAAAGCCUAGAAAUCCCCAGGUGGUGAAAGCAUUUGGAUGUAAAUUAUACAGGCUGUCCAUCAAGCUGCACAAACCAAUAGCUGAUUCACAGUUGAAUGAACCCAGUGUCUGAGAUUUGAAUUCAGAGCAUGUAGCAAAAAACCCUCAGAUGUCAAUGCAAAAUUCAUUGAAGGCUGAGUGUGGCAUCAUUUCUGGCCUGACAGCCUUGUGUAUAUGGAAAAGCAGAAGGAGUGAAAAUUGGUGCCAUGUUAAUACUGCCCAAAUAUACACAAUGAAGUCAGACUGAAAGCAGUGAAAUUGCAGCUGCUCCUCAUGAGCUAACAGGACUGCUUUCCUUAACCAGUGACCUUCAAUUACAGAGUAGCAAGCAAAUUAGCAGAGACAAAAAAGAAACACCUGUUAGCCAGAAAAUCUUACUGGCUAAAGCUCGUCUUGUUUCAGUUCCAGUUUCCGUAGCUUUCGGUAAAAUAUGUGCUGUCUCUUUCUCUUUUGGAGUACUGGCAUUAACUGGAAAUGUUGAUUCUGGAAACAGUGAACUCCUUCUUAUCAAAUUGUCUGGUUUACAAAUGGUUUUUUUAGAAGACCUUAAGGGUUUCUAAGUGCUUGAAGGAUCUGAAUCAUUGCAGAAGGCCUCCUGAUGUCACAGAGAUCAAGUUAGGAAGAAAUGCAAGGCCAAAAAUGGCCAGGGCAGGAAUGGCUAAAUGAAAUUGCCAUUUCUCAGUACCAAGCUCUCCAGCACUCCAUAUGCUCAUGGUUGUUUGCUGUAGGUUGGAGUGACUAUGAAGCAGGCUGGGAUGUAAAUUUACAGUGCAGCAGUUAGGUUGUCCCCAUACAGGAGUGAAGGGGCUUACUCUGAACUAUAUCCGUCUAAAAGGUAGCAGUCUGGUCCUACCUGAUACAGGUUGCUUAUAAACCUGAAAAAAUCACAAAUCCAGAUGAAUUACAUGGUGUGAAUCCACUUUGAAAGGGGACUAGAGAAGACAACAGUAUGUGCAUGCUAAGGGUGUCCACACAGGGAACUAUCACUCUUCAGAUUCACAAGCUGACUUAAUUCCCUAAGUAGGCAAGCCUGAGCAGCAAAGAAUAUAUGGCCUUCUUCCCUUUGAAUUUGGAGAAAAUGUUUGGUGGUUUGUUUUGUUUUUUAUGGCUGGUAACUCUAUACACCUUUUGCGUCUCUUAAUUUUCCGGAUGCUUCAUUGAAACCUUAGGAUCUUAUAAUCAAAAUCAACUUUUUAAUAGGACAAGCUCCAUAUUUCCUUCUCUGGACACAGUUUUACAAGUGAGGUUUUCCUUUUGGAAUAUUAGCACCUUUUAUCUGCCUCAGAUUUACAAAAUAAGCCAUAAAAAAAAUGAGGCAAACCCACUUACAAUAAAAAACAAGUCACACAGUUAAAACAAAGAUAACCACUUAGGCAUAAGUUAUCUUUUGACAACAUUAAUAGCUAAAUACCUUUUUUCAUCCUUCAGUAUAUGUUGGCAUGAAAUCUUUUCCUUGGGAUUUCUGAGUUAUAUGAGGGAAAAAGGAUGGGGAAAUGUCUGCAGAGGGUUUUCUCCUACUUUGGCCAAAUCUGAAACAUGCUUUGCUGCUACCUGUGCCACCACACUGCCUGCAGAUUAACAGUUUUCUUUAAGCCUCCAUUUUCAAAGUUUUCUCAGGAUAGUUUGGAUCAUCAGCUCUUACAAUUUAAAGAGAGAUUAAUUUCUAAGAGACAGCUGUAACAGCAUGGUAGAAUGCCAGAUUGUUUCCUUCUUGCAGCUACUACUAUGUUUUCUUUCAGAGGCAAUUGAUCUUUUUGAGAUUCCUCUUCCCCUUAGUUUGACAGAAAUCUCUUAAUUAUGAGGCUCUGAGUGUUGUCUAAAUGUAAUGUGUGGUGAACUUUAAGUCCCAAGCCUGAAGCCACAGUCUUCCCACUGUUUGUUGUUUGAGCUCAAUAAACAUCACACUGAUAUAUUGAGGUGACUCAGCUAUGCAGUGUUCACCUGCCAGCACCAAGUCACUGGUCUGGACUUCUGAAUUUUUCCAGAUAGCAGACAGGCUGGAAGAGCAAAGCCAUUUAUAUACCUGGUGAUUAUAAUGAUGCAUGGGAACAAAAAUAGAUUUACAACAAUAAUAACAUCCAGGACAGCAAUACAAAUAGUGAGGAUAAAAAACAGGGAAAGAUAAAUACCUGUCUGGAAAUAUGACUACUACUGAAUCAAUAGGCUGAUGUCCUACCAAAAGCACGUCACUACAGAUCAAAAGCAAUGGAGUGUUGGUAACUUUCACUCUGCUCAAUGAAAGUUACCCUUUUUCUCCAGUCUAUCUACUGUUACAAAUUGCAGGGAAGCAUUUCUAUUAAUUAGAGGGCUGCUUUUACACCGCUUUUAACUAAUUAUUGUUAAAACAAGCUAGUCAUAUUCCUCUAACAUGGAAUGGAGUACUUAAUGCCUAUACUCAACACUUCAGGUUUGUUAAUAAAAGAAAUCCUGGGGGUUUUUUUAGUUUCUUUUCCUAUUACAUUUUGUAAACUAUGCUAUGAAUAAUGAAUAAUGAAUAAUUAAAGGUACAACUUUUAAA
Molecule: long non-coding RNA, 5900 nt
Organism: Pseudopipra pipra
Lineage: Eukaryota; Metazoa; Chordata; Aves; Passeriformes; Pipridae
Exons: 5
Source: RefSeq, a predicted model, not a curated record